RNAcentral lists this transfer RNA (72 nucleotides) under Streptococcus pneumoniae. RNAcentral's name for it is "tRNA-Glu". It matches the Rfam family "tRNA". From Rfam's summary of the family: Transfer RNA (tRNA) molecules are approximately 80 nucleotides in length. The record is from RNAcentral. Lineage: Bacteria; Bacillati; Bacillota; Bacilli; Lactobacillales; Streptococcaceae.
GGUCCGUUGGUCAAGGGGUUAAGACACCGCCUUUUCACGGCGGUAACUCUGGUUCGAAUCCCGUACGUACUA